GUCUCUGGUACGAUAAUCCUACAUUUCCCACCUGGCAACGCUGCACGGUAGAUCUGCCUCGGCUCCGGCUCUGCAGCUUUCCAUUAUUGGGGAAGCCGGCCGCCUGUGAGUUUGUCUGCAGGGUGAUCAUCUGUUCUGACGGUGGAAAGAAACAACGCACUUUCAUCUGUAAACAUGGAGAGUCAUUUGAUUUUGAGCGCCCUUUUGAUGUGGUCCGUUUGGACCUCAGUCGCUGCGAAGGAGAUAAAGUUCAGCUGUUGUGACCUGCCAAUCAAAGUUCCGUUAAACCGCAGAAAUGAUAACGAGUUCUCCAUCGAAAGCAAGUCAGUGGCCAUUGCAACACCCUCCGUCUUUCAAGCUGAGGCUCCCUUUUCUGUCCAUGGAAACACAACACUGACCCUGGACAAGUGUGUGGACUUUGAUCAGAAGACAGUUUUUGAUCAUGAGAAGGGUUCCUCAGACGAAAAUAUGAUCCACCACCACGGUCUGCCCUGCAACAGCACAGCCCCUCCAGACAAUCCACUACAGGGACACAAACACGCAGGCGUCAUUGUCACGAUUCUGUUGAUAGUCCUGGGAGGAGGAGUGAUUGGGGCCAUUUGAUAUUUAAACAACAAGCUUUGUAAGAAAACUGAAGAAGCCAUUGUCGUUUAAAAUGCCUUGAAUCCUUCAUUUCUACCUCCUCCACCCCGAGACACUGCACGGAACAGCUGGCUUCCAUCUUCACGGACAUUUUCAACACCUCCCUGGAGUCAUGCCACGUGCCAGCCUGCUUCAAAUCAUCCACCAUCGCCCCUGUUCCUAAGAAGCCACGGAUCAAAGGACCAAAUGACUGCAGACAUCAGCCACUAGCCUGUAGUCAUGAAGUCUUCUGAAAUCUUCUCCCCAUCUGAAGGACAUCACCGCCCCCCUCCCGGUCUCAGCUGCUCAGGGGGACAGGUCUCGAGGUCCUUUUUAUAUUUGUUUUUGCGCUGGUCAUUUUUCAUUGUUAAUCAUGGAUCUUGAAAGCCAGGUGAACACAUCUGUACAGUGUAAUGGCUUUGCCGAUUGUGACCUGCUUCAUUCACCAAAGAAGAAACGUGAAUGUAACGAUAUCCAAGUCUCACAGGAUGGUAUUAUGGUUUUAGCACCGGCAGAAUUUGUCUAAAAAAAACCCCGCUAAUUGGGAUUUUUUUAGCAAGAUCUCUCUCUCCCUGUCAGCUCUUAAUGGUUCUAAAAUUUAAAGUAUCGGUAGUUUCUGUUUCUGCAAACAACUGGACUAAACAAGGCAUCACAUAAACAAGGUGAAGUAAUUAAUCAAAUGCCUUUGUUAAAAAAUAAAUCAUUAAGGGUCAUUGAAUGAAUUGUGCUGACCUAAAAUGACAUCAGAAAGCAAUACCUUCCAUGAGACAUUAAUAGUGAUAUUGCUCUUGCACUUUUGUUGUUUACUCCGUAACAAAAAUUACCAAAAUAUAUGGCCCGAAACACACUGAUUUGGAGGUUUUCUGCUGACAUUUUUUGCAACAUUCCUUUCAUUUUGCACAAAGUUUUGCUCAUAUGUUUAAAUUUAAGUUGAUCCACAUUUAGAUUAUUCCUCUAUUCACAAUAAUGGAUACAAAUCUUUCAUUAGAUCCAUGGGGUCAUUGCAAAAAAUAAGGCAUUUAAACCAAACCAAAAAUUGUUGUUUACUUUGUUACUUUCCUCCACUGAAGGCGUGUUUACUACCGUUGCACUUUUCACACUUUUCCAAAUAAUUUAUGUAUUUUUUAAUAUAUAUUUAUAUUGACAAUAAAU
Molecule: long non-coding RNA, 1773 nt
Organism: Neogobius melanostomus (round goby)
Lineage: Eukaryota; Metazoa; Chordata; Actinopteri; Gobiiformes; Gobiidae
Source: Ensembl